UACGGUUAUCAUCUUCAUUUCUACAGUUGGAUUCAAAUUCCAUUCUCUCAUAGGGUCUCUUCUGUGGGAUUGAGCUUCUAUGAGAGUUGAUACUUCUUGCAGGGCUGUGAGAUUGAGCUCUUGGGUAUCUUCCGGAGUAUAGUAAUUUUUAACAGUACCAUGGGAGACAGGGUUUGAGGCAGACUGAGCAGGUAGUGAGCCUCCUUGCGGCUCCUCUGGAUUCUUAAACCUGGACAAUUCUUAUUUUCAUGGGUAAGCCUUAAGCAAUAUUGGCAAUGGUUUUUCAACUUUUUGUAGUUCAGGUAGACAAGGGUCUCCGAGCCAGUAGAAAACUCUACCACUGACUCUUUGAUUAAAGGUUGGAGCCCAUCUAGCAUGACUCUAAUAUUUGCAUAGUUCGGGGAGAUAUCCAUCUCCAUGACCUCACCUAAAUCUUCUCCUAUUGUUUGAAGCAUAGUCGGCUGCCAGAAAUGCUUGGGAAGACCCUGAACCUGCACCCAUAAAGGGAUUUUUGAUAGGAAGGCUUCGGAGAUAACUGUUUCCCACCUUUGCAGAAUGACUAUCCACUGGUUAAAGUGAUUCCAGCGGUUCACCAGGAAAGGCAGGAUGGCCCAUAGAUGUUGUCCAGAUGGAUUUGUGAGGCGCCCAAUGAGGGUGAGCAACUUCUCUUCGAUUAGGGCAGAACAAUCGAGUUCAGGGGCUUAUUUCUUUCUUGGUGGUGGGGAGUAACCUCGUGCUUUUCCUUUACCUUUCUGGUACGUAGGGAUUCUGUUGUUCAUACUUUCAGGGUAUUGGUUAGACAAAUUAAAGGCAAGGGUGGGGAGUUAAAGAUGCAGAGAGAAGGAGCCAAAUAUGUGAGAGUAGGUUCUGGCGUCGCAAACAUAAGAGAAAGGUAGCUAACAGUAGAGAUGGUUGAACGGAAUUACAAAGGAAAUUAAUCUUGUUGUUCUUCAGGGGCGGAAGCAGGGUUUGAAGGUUUGAGUAAGAGGAUGGAACGAAGAAACCAUUAAAUAAAUUUCUAACGGUUGGAUAAAGACCAGUAUAUGCUACCUUUUUUAGCAAAAAAGAGUAAGUGAGAUUUGGUUAAAGGCUUGCAUCUUAGUCCUUUGGAACUGUACCUGGCAGAGUUUUCCACCCUCUUUAUAAAUACCUAAGUUACAUAAACUAUGUCAUGUGUCCAUUUCUCACUAACUCUUUGUAUCAAAAGUAUCACGUUUUAGACAUAAAGAAAAAAAUCAAAACAUCACGUGUCUAUAUGAA
Molecule: non-coding RNA, 1260 nt
Organism: Camelina sativa (false flax)
Lineage: Eukaryota; Viridiplantae; Streptophyta; Magnoliopsida; Brassicales; Brassicaceae
Source: RefSeq, a predicted model, not a curated record